GAUUAGAUACCCUGGUAGUCCACGCCGUAAACGAUGUCGACUUGGAGGUUGUUCCCUUGAGGAGUGGCUUCCGGAGCUAACGCGUUAAGUCGACCGCCUGGGGAGUACGGCCGCAAGGUUAAAACUCAAAUGAAUUGACGGGGGCCCGCACAAGCGGUGGAGCAUGUGGUUUAAUUCGAUGCAACGCGAAGAACCUUACCUACUCUUGACAUCCAGAGAACUUAGCAGAGAUGCUUUGGUGCCUUCGGGAACUCUGAGACAGGUGCUGCAUGGCUGUCGUCAGCUCGUGUUGUGAAAUGUUGGGUUAAGUCCCGCAACGAGCGCAACCCUUAUCCUUUGUUGCCAGCGAUUCGGUCGGGAACUCAAAGGAGACUGCCGGUGAUAAACCGGAGGAAGGUGGGGAUGACGUCAAGUCAUCAUGGCCCUUACGAGUAGGGCUACACACGUGCUACAAUGGCGCAUACAAAGAGAAGCGACCUCGCGAGAGCAAGCGGACCUCAUAAAGUGCGUCGUAGUCCGGAUCGGAGUCUGCAACUCGACUCCGUGAAGUCGGAAUCGCUAGUAAUCGUGGAUCAGAAUGCCACGGUGAAUACGUUCCCGGGCCUUGUACACACCGCCCGUCACACCAUGGGAGUGGGUUGCAAAAGAAGUAGGUAGCUUAACCUUCGGGAGGGCGCUUACCACUUUGUGAUUCAUGACUGGGGUGAAGUCGUAACAAGG
RNAcentral lists this ribosomal RNA (720 nucleotides) under uncultured bacterium. RNAcentral's name for it is "bacterial SSU rRNA". It matches the Rfam family "Bacterial small subunit ribosomal RNA", at positions 776 to 1496 of the family's 1533-position model. The record is from RNAcentral.